Molecule: ribosomal RNA, 573 nt
Filed under: Neopestalotiopsis sp.
Lineage: Eukaryota; Fungi; Ascomycota; Sordariomycetes; Amphisphaeriales; Sporocadaceae
Description: eukaryotic LSU rRNA
Rfam family: Eukaryotic large subunit ribosomal RNA
Source: RNAcentral
AAACCAACAGGGAUUGCCUUAGUAACGGCGAGUGAAGCGGCAACAGCUCAAAUUUGAAAUCUGGCCCUUGGGUCCGAAUUGUAAUUUGUAGAGGAUGAUUUUGGUGCGGUAUCUUCCGAGUUCCUUGGAACAGGACGCCUUAGAGGGUGAGAGCCCCGUACGGUUGAAUGCCUAGCCUCUGUAAAUCUCCUUCGACGAGUCGAGUAGUUUGGGAAUGCUGCUCUAAAUGGGAGGUAAAUUUCUUCUAAAGCUAAAUAUUGGCCAGAGACCGAUAGCGCACAAGUAGAGUGAUCGAAAGAUGAAAAGCACUUUGAAAAGAGGGUUAAAUAGCACGUGAAAUUGUUGAAAGGGAAGGAUUUGUGACCAGACUUUUUCUGGGCGGAUCAUCCGGGGUUCUCUCCGGUGCACUUCGCCCAGUAAAGGCCAGCAUCGGUUUUCGGCGUGGGAUAAAAGCAGUAGGAAUGUGGCUCUCUACGGGGAGUGUUAUAGCCUAUUGUAUAAUACCGCGCUGGGGACCGAGGUUCGCGCUUCUGCAAGGAUGCUGGCGUAAUGGUUAUCAAUCACCCGUCUUGA